RNAcentral lists this ribosomal RNA (422 nucleotides) under uncultured bacterium. RNAcentral describes it as "bacterial SSU rRNA". It matches the Rfam family "Bacterial small subunit ribosomal RNA", at positions 505 to 916 of the family's 1533-position model. The record is from RNAcentral.
GUGUCAGCAGCCGCGGUAAGCCGCGGUAAUACAGAGGGUGCAAGCGUUAAUCGGAAUUACUGGGCGUAAAGGGAGCGUAGGUGGCUCUAUAAGUCAGAUGUGAAAUCCCCGGGCUUAACCUGGGAACUGCAUCUGAAACUGUAGAGCUAGAGUAUGUGAGAGGAAGGUAGAAUUCCAGGUGUAGCGGUGAAAUGCGUAGAGAUCUGGAGGAAUACCGAUGGCGAAGGCAGCCUUCUGGCAUAAUACUGACACUGAGGCUCGAAAGCGUGGGUAGCAAACAGGAUUAGAUACCCUGGUAGUCCACGCCGUAAACGAUGUCUACUAGUCGUUGGGUCCCUUGAGGACUUAGUGACGCAGCUAACGCAAUAAGUAGACCGCCUGGGGAGUACGGCCGCAAGGUUAAAACUCAAAGGAAUUGGCGG